AAUAUUGUAAGUAUAUAAUAAUUACGAAAGCAAAAAAUUAUGGCGGUAUUUUAAGCUUUUCAGAGGAAUUUGCUCUUUAAUGGAUAAAACACCUAAAUCUUACUUAAAUUUGUCAAAUCAACUUGUAUACCACUAUUAAAACAAUUAUUAACUCUAAUUGUUAAUAUUUAAAACAUAAAUUAAUUUAAAUUAAGUCAAGGUGCAGUAAAAAUUUAAGAAUGAAGUGAAUUACAUUACUUUUAAGAGAAAUAAAAUUAAAUAAAAUUUAGGAUUUGAAAGUAAAAUUAAAAUAGAAUGUUAAUUUGAAUU
Molecule: ribosomal RNA, 309 nt
Filed under: Rhipicephalus sp. SAM-2017
Lineage: Eukaryota; Metazoa; Arthropoda; Arachnida; Ixodida; Ixodidae
Description: partial small subunit ribosomal RNA
Source: RNAcentral